GCCAGGCGCUGUGGUGCAUGCCUGUAGUCCCAGCUACUGGGGAGGUUGAGGUGGGAGGAUUGCUUGAGUCUGGGAGUUCUGGGCUGUAGUGCACUAUGCUGAUCAGGUGUCUGCACUAAGUUCAGCAUCAAUAUGGUGACCUCCCGGGAGUGGGGGACCACCAGGUCUCCUAAGGAGGGGUGAAUCUGCCCAGGUCGGAAACAGAGCAGGUCAAAAUUCCUGUGCUGAUCAGUAGUGGGAUCGUACCUGUGAAUUGCCACCACACUCCAGCCUGGGCAACAUAGCGAGACCGA
This is an unclassified non-coding RNA of Callithrix jacchus (white-tufted-ear marmoset), 293 nucleotides long. It matches the Rfam family "Metazoan signal recognition particle RNA". Rfam says of the family: The signal recognition particle (SRP) is a universally conserved ribonucleoprotein. NCBI's taxonomy places the organism in Eukaryota, Metazoa, Chordata, Mammalia, Primates, Cebidae. The record is from Ensembl.